Molecule: ribosomal RNA, 253 nt
Filed under: uncultured bacterium
Lineage: Bacteria
Description: partial 16S ribosomal RNA
Rfam family: Bacterial small subunit ribosomal RNA
Source: RNAcentral
CACGUAGGGCGCAAGCGUUGUCCGGAUUUACUGGGCGUAAAGAGCGCGCAGGCGGUCGUUCAAGUCGAGUGUGAAAGCCCCCGGCUCAACUGGGGAGGGUCACUCGAUACUGAUCGACUCGAAGGCAGGAGAGGGUAGUGGAAUUCCCGGUGUAGUGGUGAAAUGCGUAGAUAUCGGGAGGAACACCAGUGGCGAAGGCGACUACCUGGCCUGUCCUUGACGCUGAGGCGCGAAAGCUAGGGGAGCAAACGGG